UAUAGCUCAGUGGCACAGUGCCUGCCUGGCAAGCACAAGGUCCUGAGUUCAAUUCCCAGUA
This 61-nucleotide transfer RNA is filed under the name Cavia porcellus (domestic guinea pig). It matches the Rfam family "tRNA", at positions 6 to 65 of the family's 71-position model. From Rfam's summary of the family: Transfer RNA (tRNA) molecules are approximately 80 nucleotides in length. The record is from Rfam by way of RNAcentral. Lineage: Eukaryota; Metazoa; Chordata; Mammalia; Rodentia; Caviidae. RNAcentral also lists the same sequence under 1 other name.